Molecule: long non-coding RNA, 460 nt
Filed under: Pan troglodytes (chimpanzee)
Lineage: Eukaryota; Metazoa; Chordata; Mammalia; Primates; Hominidae
Description: lincRNA
Source: RNAcentral
CUGUGGCAGAGACGGAGAAGAUGAACAGGGAUUUUAUACCAGGCGUCAGAAGGGAACCAGUGCUAAAGAAAAUGAAAACACCGGGCUGGGAGAGGCAGCUGGCAUGCGGGCCGUGGUGGUUUUACGUGGCCGAUUUGAGAGUGAGACCCCUGGGGUCUUGGAGCCAGGCCUGGGAAAAGCUACUUCACGUCAGGCCAGGGGCUGUAGCCCUGGCAACCUCCACUCUGCCUGGAAAUCCUCCACCUCGGGGCCUCUCUUUGCCCAGACCUGGCCCAGGAGGAGCACAUGGGAGCCGGGACCUUCCCAACAAUCCUUGCCGUUGGCUCCACAAACCUCAGCCAGUCCUGCAACCUGGGAUGCCUUCUGCACCAGGAUGCCUGCUACUGUCACUGUUGUCAUUAGAUAAUUAAUGAACUAUAAUUAGAAAUCAUAUCAAUAAAAUUUCACAGUCUAAGGCUGU